GACGCCUCGCUGUUGGAAACGCUCGAAUUGCUCCCUUUGAUAAUUUUCAUCAUUGGAUCGGAAGAUGAUAUUUCCAAAAUUCUGAUUUCCCGCCAUAGUGAUGAAUGAAUUUGAAGGAGUAAUUUGGAAAGAAAAGAAAUGUAUUUGAUAGGAGAGAAUGGUUUGUGGUGAAUGAAGGGAGGUUUUAAUGGGUAUUUAUAGGAAAAGAAUUUGGAAGUUGGAAAAAAAGGAGUGGUUGAAAAGUAAAUAGAUGUGGGUAAAUGUGAAUA
This 269-nucleotide long non-coding RNA is filed under the name Lathyrus oleraceus (garden pea). Its description in RNAcentral is "Pisum sativum (pea) long non-coding RNA (PSAT_LNC040418)". Lineage: Eukaryota; Viridiplantae; Streptophyta; Magnoliopsida; Fabales; Fabaceae. The record is from RNAcentral.